AACCACCGAGAGGACCCAGCACCCAGGUCCUGCCCAGCACUGCCCAUGUGGCCUGAGGGUCUUUGUUCUGCAGGAAAAGCGGGUGGUUAGCAGGAACUGGGCAAGGGGUACCUGUGGACCCAGAGUGACCAACGAGAUGCUUGAGGAUGAGGAUGCUGAGGACCACGGGGGUACUUUCUGCUUAGGGGAGCUGGUGGAGCUGGCUGUGACCAUGGAGAACAAAGCAGAGGGCAAACGGAUUGUAAGUGAAAAGCCUACCAGAGCAAGGAACCAAGGCAUAGAGGGGUCACCUGGAGGGCGUGUGACCCGAAGCCCCCCCACGCAGGUGGCCAUCAGCUCAGAUUCUGCACGGAAGGGUUCUUGGGAGCCCUGGAGCCGGCCGGUGGGGGAGCCCCCGGAGGCGGGCUGGGACUAUGCCCAGUGGAAGCAGGAGCGGGAGCAGAUCGACCUAGCCCGCCUCGCCCGGCACAGAGACGCACAGGGUGACUGGCGCCGCCCGUGGGACCUGGACAAGGCCAAGUCCACGCUACAGGACUGCAGCCAGCUGAGGGGAGAAGGCCCGGCCAGGGCAGGCAGCAGAAGGGGUCCCAGGAGCCACCAGAAACUACAGCCCCCACCAUUGCUCCCUGAUGGAAAAGGUCGGGGCGGGCAAGCCAGCAGACCCUCGGUGGCACCAGCCACAGGCAGCAAAGCCCGGGGCAAGGAGAGGCUGACUGGCAGGGCCCGAAGGUGGGAUAUGAAGGAAGACAAGGAGGAGCUGGAAGGUCAGGAGGGAAGCCAAAGCACCAGAGAGACUCCCAGUGAGGAGGAGCAAGCCCAGAAGCAGAGCGGGAUGGAGCAGGGCCGACUGGGGAGCGCCCCUGCAGCCAGCCCAGCCCUGGCAUCCCCAGAGGGGCCGAAGGGGGAGUCAGUGGCUUCCACAGCCAGCUCAGUCCCCUGCUCUCCACAGGAGCCUGACUUGGCUCCUCUUGACCUCUCCCUAGGAGGGGCUGGCAUCCCUGGGCCCAGGGAGAGCGGGUGUGUGCUCGGUCUGAGGCCUGGGGCCCAGGAGAGCCCUGUGUCUUGGCCAGAGGGCUCUAAGCAGCAGCCCCUGGGGUGGAGCAAUCACCAGGCUGAGCUGGAAGUACAGACUUGCCCUGAGCCACAGAGAGGAGCAGGGCUCCCAGAGCCCGGAGAAGACAGGUCUGGCAAGUCUGGGGCCCAGCAGGGCCUGGCCCCGAGAAGCCGGCCCACGAGAGGAGGCAGCCAAAGGUCGAGAGGCACAGCAGGUGUGAGGCGCAGGACAGGGCGCCCUGGCCCGGCAGGAAGAUGCUGAACACAGCUCCUGGGAGCUGGGGAGUCCCCGGGGAGAGGAAAAGGGAAUCACUCUGUUAAAGGCCCUCCGCGUGAUGGCCAUGUGGUUGCCGGUGGCUUGCGCCAUUGUCACUGAGCAGUGUGGCAAACUCUCCAGCAUGGCGACCUUGUGAGGGCAAGGAGUGGCCUCCCUGCACCUCACACGCUCAUCUCUGUGCACAUGUGUGUUUUCACGCACGGGCACAGCCCCUGGUGUAUUCCUGUACUAGUAUCUGGCAUCUGAGGCUGGUGCACCCUGACCUGGGCCUACUGCUGCCCAGGCCACAAGCCUUCUCCACUAUGAUGAGAGAACAAGGCUUGGUGGCACCCAGCACCUGGCUCUCCUGGCUCCCCGUCACCCCCCCAGGGCCUGGCCUCCCUCUCCAGCUGCAGGCUUUCACCUCUUGCCUGGGCUGGAUUCCCCCAGUCCCAGAUUCCCAGGAUGCCCAACCAGGGGAAUCCCAGUAACCAUGCGCCAGCCUCCUGCCUCUCCUGAGUGGUGGCUGAGGCCUGGAGGAGGAGAGGCCACACAGCUGGCAGGGUCUGGCCUGGGCAAAGAAGAGUAGAGCUCACGUCUUCUUGGUGAAAAGGAGGAUCUCUGGAAAGUCCUCCUCUCUGAAAUGGGUUGGGAUGGGGAGCGACAACCUCCUCUUCCCACAGCAGGAUGGGAGAGCUUACUCCCAGGCCCCCACACCCAGGUCAGACAUCACGUGCACCCUGAAUGUAGGCAAGGGCCUGGCCCUGCAGCCCAGGGUCAUUUCCUGCUCUUUCCACUUCCUCUUUCCCCACCGUCCUGCACUAGCACCAGGGCCAGGCCAAGGCAAGAAUCAGACAGCUACUCCACAGACAGAGAAACAACUUCCAGCUAAGUAUGACAUCAGGACUUGUCUUUCCUACUAAGCCUCCAUCCCCGCCCCUCCCCUGAGGCCCACGUCUGCUGAAUUAUCCGGACUCCGCACAAGCUGUGGCUUCCUCUCAGUUCAACAAACAUUUCCUGAGCACCCACUACCAGUAAUCCAGCCGGUAGGCGACGGAGACUGCCAGCAGGAGGGAGGGAAGAAAGCCAGUCAUCCGGCAGAUCUGGGCUGUUCUGGGCGGGAGCUGUUCUGGGCCACAGGUGCCCUACAGGGCUGGGGGCAGGAUGGCGGUAGGAGCCCCAGGGGACCCUCCCACCUCUGCCUGGCAGAAGCAAGUGCCCUUCUUUCUUGUUAUGUGUGCCUUCUGCUCCUGAGCCCUAGUGUGGACCUCACCGCAUGGUCCCCUCUGCCCCCUCCUUCUGGUCCUGCCAUGGCUGCUGCUCUCUGCUGAAGGCUGUGGGGCUCUAGGGAGAGUCCAGAUCACCCUGGGAUUUCUCCACUGCCCAAUGUGAAGCCUAAACUGUGGGGUCCCAGCUCAGCCUUCCUCACUGGCUCUCAACUCCACCCCACCCCUCUAUUCAGGAAGGUGAGGGGCAUCUCUUUAGCAGACCAGACUGUUUUGAGAAGUGUCUCUCAUACUUUAACUGAAGAGUCAUGCAGAUUCUAAUGGUCUGGGGAGGGCCUGAGAGUUCGUCUUUUUUUUUUUUUUUUUUUUUUAGUUAGGGUCCUGCUGUUAUCACCUAGGCUGGAGUGCAGUGGCACAAUCAUGGCUCACUGCAGCCUCGAACCCUCCAGGCUCAGGCGAUCCUCUCACAUCAACCUCUUGAGUAGCCGGGACUACAGGUGUGCCACCACACCUGGCUAAUUUUUGUAUUUUUUGUAGAGGCAGGGUUUCACCAUGUUGCCCAGGCUGGUCUCCAACUCCUGGGCUCAAGCAAUCUGCUCGCCUUGGCCUCCUAAACUGCUGGGAUUACAGGCAUGAGCCACCACACCUGGCCGAGAAUUCGUAUUUCUAAGAGGCUUCAGGUGAAGCCCAUGCUGGUUCCUGGACCAUGGUUUUGAGUAGUUAAGGGUUUGGACUAGAAUAUAUGAAGGGCUGGGGGUGAAGACAGACUCUAGACUCUAAAGGUUGGUGGCUGGCUAUGUAGGGGAUGGGGGAGUGCUACCCCUGUCAGGUGGUGGGGGCUUCCUGGCUGCAGAGUUGGGUGGGAGACUUGGGGAAGAUGCUUUGGAAGGCAGUGAGUGGGUGGUGUCAACUUCUAGUAGUGCAGUGGGAGAGCUGGUCAGGGAUGGGAUGGAGUGAAGGGGGCAGAGGCAUUUGGUGUGGGGUUGAUCAGAGGAAUUUUGGAAAGGCUUGGAAACAUUCCUAUGUAUGUGAGACACACCUAUGCCAGGGCAAAGACUCCAAGCUCAAGUUUUUCUCUUGCCUUCUAGUCACAAGAACAUGGCUUUGGAGUGUGACACUGGCCUAGGAAUCCAUGACUCCCAAAGGACGGGGCUAGGGGUAGAGGAGGUUCAGGCAAAGCCCUUAGAUUUUGGAGACAUCAGGCAGAUGUCUCCAAAAAUGAUUGUGAUCAAGAAUCUGAAUUAUAAGAUUCACAGUCUGCUCCCCAACCCAGUGCUGCCAACUGUACAGCUGCGCCUCCACGAAGGGGCAUAUGCCAGGCUCGUCUGACCCUGGAAUGAGGAUGUAGGAAGCAGGCAGAGCUCGGGUUCAGCCCUCACAAUGGGACUGAAGCAGGAGAGAAGGCUGGGCAGAAGGGCUGUGGGGAAGUAGGGCUUGUCUCCAUGGAUGACGUCCAGAAGGAUGUCAGGAGGAGGAAUAUCACAGGAGUUAUAGACAUUGGAGGGAACAGAGACUGGCACAGGACCUCUUCAUUGCAGGAAGAUGGUAGUGUAGGCAGGUAACAUUGAGCUCUUUUCAAAAAAGGAGAGCUCUUCUUCAAGAUAAGGAAGUGGUAGUUAUGGUGGUAACCCCCGGCUAUCAGUCCGGAUGGUUGCCACCCCUCCUGCUGUAGGAUGGAAGCAGCCAUGGAGUGGGAGGGAGGCGCAAUAAGACACCCCUCCACAGAGCUUGGCAUCAUGGGAAGCUGGUUCUACCUCUUCCUGGCUCCUUUGUUUAAAGGCCUGGCUGGGAGCCUUCCUUUUGGGUGUCUUUCUCUUCUCCAACCAACAGAAAAGACUGCUCUUCAAAGGUGGAGGGUCUUCAUGAAACACAGCUGCCAGGAGCCCAGGCACAGGGCUGGGGGCCUGGAAAAAGGAGGGCACACAGGAGGAGGGAGGAGCUGGUAGGGAGAUGCUGGCUUUACCUAAGGUCUCGAAACAAGGAGGGCAGAAUAGGCAGAGGCCUCUCCGUCCCAGGCCCAUUUUUGACAGAUGGCGGGACGGAAAUGCAAUAGACCAGCCUGCAAGAAAGACAUGUGUUUUGAUGACAGGCAGUGUGGCCGGGUGGAACAAGCACAGGCCUUGGAAUCCAAUGGACUGAAUCAGAACCCUAGGCCUGCCAUCUGUCAGCCGGGUGACCUGGGUCAAUUUUAGCCUCUAAAAGCCUCAGUCUCCUUAUCUGCAAAAUGAGGCUUGUGAUACCUGUUUUGAAGGGUUGCUGAGAAAAUUAAAGAUAAGGGUAUCCAAAAUAGUCUACGGCCAUACCACCCUGAACGUGCCUAAUCUCGUAAGCUAAGCAGGGUCAGGCCUGGUUAGUACCUGGAUGGGGAGAGUAUGGAAAACAUACCUGCCCGCAGUUGGAGUUGGACUCUGUCUUAACAGUAGCGUGGCACACAGAAGGCACUCAGUAAAUACUUGUUGAAUAAAUGAAGUAGCGAUUUGGUGUGA
RNAcentral lists this long non-coding RNA (5021 nucleotides) under Homo sapiens (human). Its description in RNAcentral is "non-protein coding lnc-CCDC9B-3:3". The record is from RNAcentral. Lineage: Eukaryota; Metazoa; Chordata; Mammalia; Primates; Hominidae.